GGAUGCACAAGAGGUGAGUAUUUCUCCAGGUACUGAUGAGUUGAGUUGAUUAGUACCUGGAAAAUUAACUCACCUCUUGUUGUAUCAUUAUUCAACUUGUUAUCACCCGUUAUCUCAUUUGGUUAUAAUAUUUGGUUCCCAAUCGUUUUCUUCAUUCAAAAUGACUCGAUAACAUAAGAAGUUAACAGUGGUUUUAAUAAUUAAAUCAACUGGAUGGAAACGAAUCAAGGAUAACAUCAACAGCAACAACAACUCAACAACUUAAACAAUAUUGUCUAUGGAAAUGAAACAGCCAUGAUUUUUUGAAUCAUUUGGUGGCUAAAAGUAAAAUAAAAUUCAACAAAAAAUAACAUCAACCGGAGAAAUAAUAUUUUAAGGUAAGUUGACCUUUCCGUAUGUUCUUGAAAGUUUUGUGAUUAGAUUAAGGUUAAUUUUUCAUGUGUUUUGUAUCUUUGUCAGAUUCCAAUUUAAAGAUGUGAAAUUUGAGAAGUAUUUGAUGUGGCUUGAUGAUUUUAAA
Molecule: long non-coding RNA, 517 nt
Organism: Tetranychus urticae (two-spotted spider mite)
Lineage: Eukaryota; Metazoa; Arthropoda; Arachnida; Trombidiformes; Tetranychidae
Source: RefSeq, a predicted model, not a curated record